CCACAACGGUUUAUUGUCUGC
Molecule: non-coding RNA, 21 nt
Filed under: Arabidopsis thaliana (thale cress)
Lineage: Eukaryota; Viridiplantae; Streptophyta; Magnoliopsida; Brassicales; Brassicaceae
Source: RNAcentral